CUCUCUUUAAGGUGUGCACUUUAUUGAUCUGGUCUCAAGUCAGUGUACAGGGAAGCCCUGGCUGCCUGUGCCUCAACCCCACUCCCAGGGAGACCAAAAGCCUUCAUACAUCUGAAAUUGGGGGGGGGGGGACAAAAAAGGGGGACCACGAUGGCAGACCAUUCGAAAUAAAACAAAAAGAACAAGUAUUAAGGCGAAGAUUAAAAAAAAUUUGGACUACAUAAUUUACACCAAAGCAAUGUCAUCACCCUCGCCUGUGUGGACUUGGGCGAGGACUGGCCCUUCUCCUCAGGGAGAAAUGGGGUGGCUUUUGGGAAGGCAAGGGACUUCCUGUAACAAUGCAUCUCACGGUAUUUGGAAUGACUAUUAAAAAAAAAAAGAACAAUGUACAGUCAAGGUCCUCGGCCACACCGUAGAACUGUGGGGGUGCUCGCUCCAACCAGCUGCUGUCACCUUCGCCGUUCCAGUUUUUAAAUCCUGAGUCAAGCGCCAAAAAAAAAAACAAACAAAAAAAAAAAAACAAAACCAAAAAACAAAAUCCAAAAACAAAAAAAAUUAAAAAAAAAAACCAAAAAAACAAAACCGAAAAACAAAUAAAGCCAUGCCAAUCUCAUCUGUUUUCUGCGCAAGUUAGGUUUGUCAAGAAAGGGCGUAACGCAACUGAAGUAACAGUCCGCCUAGAAGCAUUUGCGGUGGACGAUGGAGGGGCCGGACUCGUCGUACUCCUGCUUGCUGAUCCACAUCUGCUGGAAGGUGGACAGCGAGGCCAGGAUGGAGCCGCCG
RNAcentral lists this long non-coding RNA (783 nucleotides) under Lynx pardinus (Iberian lynx). The record is from RNAcentral. Lineage: Eukaryota; Metazoa; Chordata; Mammalia; Carnivora; Felidae.